Molecule: ribosomal RNA, 253 nt
Filed under: uncultured bacterium
Lineage: Bacteria
Description: partial 16S ribosomal RNA
Rfam family: Bacterial small subunit ribosomal RNA
Source: RNAcentral
UACGUAGGGGGCAAGCGUUGUCCGGAAUCAUUGGGCGUAAAGAGCGCGUAGGCGGUCCGGUAAGUCGGUUGUGAAAACUGGGGGCUCAACCCUCAGAGGCCGACCGAUACUGUCGGGCUAGAGUCCGGAAGAGGCGAGUGGAAUUCCUGGUGUAGCGGUGAAAUGCGCAGAUAUCAGGAGGAACACCAAUGGCGAAGGCAGCUCGCUGGGACGGUACUGACGCUGAGGCGCGAAAGCGUGGGGAGCGAACAGG